This 432-nucleotide ribosomal RNA is filed under the name uncultured bacterium. Its description in RNAcentral is "bacterial SSU rRNA". It matches the Rfam family "Bacterial small subunit ribosomal RNA", at positions 355 to 786 of the family's 1533-position model. The record is from RNAcentral.
UGAGGAAUAUUGGUCAAUGGGCGGGCGUGCACAACCCAAGCCGCGUGAGGGAAGAAGGCCCUAUGGGUCGUAAACCUCUUUUGUCAGGGAACAAAAGCGAGUAUGUAUACUAGUCCGAGUGUACCUGAAGAAAAAGCAUCGGCUAACUCCGUGCCAGCAGCCGCGGUAAUACGGAGGAUGCGAGCGUUAUCCGGAUUUAUUGGGUUUAAAGGGUGCGUAGGCGGCGAUGCAAGUCAGCGGUAAAAGCCCGGGGCUCAACCCCGGCGAGCCGUUGAAACUGCAGUGCUAGAGAAGGCGAGAGGUACGCGGAAUGCGCAGUGUAGCGGUGAAAUGCUUAGAUAUUGCGCAGAACUCCGAUUGCGAAGGCAGCGUACUGGCGCCUGACUGACGCUGAGGCACGAAAGCGUGGGGGAUCGAACAGGAUUAGAUACC